GGGCUGCUAGCUCAAUGGUAGAGCAAGGGCCUUUUAAGCCCGUGGUUCUGGGUUCGAGUCCCAGGCGGCCCA
RNAcentral lists this transfer RNA (72 nucleotides) under Patulibacter sp. Its description in RNAcentral is "tRNA-Lys". It matches the Rfam family "tRNA". From Rfam's summary of the family: Transfer RNA (tRNA) molecules are approximately 80 nucleotides in length. Lineage: Bacteria; Bacillati; Actinomycetota; Thermoleophilia; Solirubrobacterales; Patulibacteraceae. The record is from RNAcentral. RNAcentral also lists the same sequence under 1 other name.